This 1001-nucleotide ribosomal RNA is filed under the name uncultured bacterium. Its description in RNAcentral is "bacterial SSU rRNA". It matches the Rfam family "Bacterial small subunit ribosomal RNA", at positions 355 to 1375 of the family's 1533-position model. The record is from RNAcentral.
UGGGGAAUAUUGGGCAAUGGGCGCAAGCCUGACCCAGCAACGCCGCGUGAAGGAAGAAGGCUUUCGGGUUGUAAACUUCUUUUAAGUGGGAAGAGUAGAAGACGGUACCACUUGAAUAAGCCACGGCUAACUACGUGCCAGCAGCCGCGGUAAUACGUAGGUGGCAAGCGUUGUCCGGAUUUACUGGGUGUAAAGGGCGUGCAGCCGGGCAUGCAAGUCAGAUGUGAAAUCUCAGGGCUUAACCCUGAAACUGCAUUUGAAACUGUAUGUCUUGAGUGCCGGAGAGGUAAUCGGAAUUCCUUGUGGAGCGGUGAAAUGCGUAGAUAUAAGGAAGAACACCAGUGGCGAAGGCGGAUUACUGGACGGUAACUGACGGUGAGGCGCGAAAGCGUGGGGAGCGAACAGGAUUAGAUACCCUGGUAGUCCACGCUGUAAACGAUGGAUACUAGGUGUGCGGGGACUGACCCCCUGCGUGCCGCAGUUAACACAAUAAGUAUCCCACCUGGGGAGUACGAUCGCAAGGUUGAAACUCAAAGGAAUUGACGGGGGCCCGCACAAGCGGUGGAUUAUGUGGUUUAAUUCGAAGCAACGCGAAGAACCUUACCAGGUCUUGACAUCCUGCUAACGAAGUAGAGAUACAUUAGGUGCCCUUCGGGGAAAGCAGAGACAGGUGGUGCAUGGUUGUCGUCAGCUCGUGUCGUGAGAUGUUGGGUUAAGUCCCGCAACGAGCGCAACCCCUAUUGUUAGUUGCUACGCAAGAGCACUCUAGCGAGACUGCCGUUGACAAAACGGAGGAAGGUGGGGACGACGUCAAAUCAUCAUGCCCCUUAUGACCUGGGCUACACACGUAAUACAAUGGCGGUCAACAAAGGGAUGCAAAGCCGCGAGGCAGAGCGAACCCCAAAAAGCCGUCCCAGUUCGGAUCGCAGGCUGCAACCCGCCUGCGUGAAGUCGGAAUCGCUAGUAAUCGUGGGUCAGCAUACCACGGUGAAUACGUUCCC